This 406-nucleotide ribosomal RNA is filed under the name uncultured bacterium. RNAcentral describes it as "partial 16S ribosomal RNA". It matches the Rfam family "Bacterial small subunit ribosomal RNA", at positions 30 to 526 of the family's 1533-position model. The record is from RNAcentral.
AUUGAACGCUGGCGGCAGGCCUAACACAUGCAAGUCGGGCGAGCGGCGGACGGGUGAGUAAUGUAUGGGGAUCUGCCUGAUGGAGGGGGAUAACUACUGGAAACGGUAGCUAAUACCGCAUACCAUCAGAUGAACCCAUAUGGGAUUAGCUAGUAGGUGUGGUAACGGCGUUCCGAGGCGACGAUCCCUAAGUGGUCUGAGAGGAUGAUCAGCCACACUGGUGCUGAGACACGGUCAGCAAUCCUACGGGCUGAACCAGUGGGGUACAUGGGACAGUAGGCACAAACCUGAUGCAGCCACUCAGCGUGUUUUAAGAUGGCCUGCGGGUUGUAUAGUACUUUCAGUCUGGGCGCGUUACCGACAGACAAAGCGCCGGCUAACUCCGUGCCAGCAGCCGCGGUAAUAC